AACGAACGCUGGCGGUAUGCUUAACACAUGCAAGUCGAGCGCUUGAGAGGAGCUUGCUCCUUGAUGGCGUGGCAGACGGGUGAGUAAUAUAUAGGAACGUACCCAAAAGUCUGGGAUAACGCUUGGAAACGAGUGAUAAUACCGGAUAAGCCCGAGAGGGGAAAGGCUUACUGCUUUUGGAGCGGCCUAUAUCAGAUUAGGUAGUUGGUGGGGUAAAGGCCUACCAAGCCGAUGAUCUGUAGCUGAUUUGAGAGGAUGAUCAGCCACACUGGGACUGAGACACGGCCCAGACUCCUACGGGAGGCAGCAGUGGGGAAUAUUGGACAAUGGGGGAAACCCUGAUCCAGCAAUACCGCGUGAAUGAUGAAGGCCUUCGGGUUGUAAAGUUCUUUUAUUAGGGAAGAUGAUGACGGUACCUAAUGAAUAAGCUCCGGCUAACUUCGUGCCAGCCGCCGCCGUAA
This 461-nucleotide ribosomal RNA is filed under the name uncultured bacterium. Its description in RNAcentral is "partial 16S ribosomal RNA". It matches the Rfam family "Bacterial small subunit ribosomal RNA", at positions 29 to 523 of the family's 1533-position model. The record is from RNAcentral.